CAACCCUCAGGGACCCCUUCCGGGGGGGACCUGGUGUUGGGGUCCGGCCGCCCGCGCCGCCCCCGAAAUGCAGUGGCGACCUCGCCGCAGCCUCCCCUGCGUAGUAGCACAACCUCGCACCGGAGCGCGGAGACGGUCACGCCGUAAAACGCCCAACUUUUUCAAG
RNAcentral lists this unclassified non-coding RNA (166 nucleotides) under uncultured Chaunopycnis. RNAcentral describes it as "sequence contains ITS2". The record is from RNAcentral. Lineage: Eukaryota; Fungi; Ascomycota; Sordariomycetes; Hypocreales; Clavicipitaceae.